UCUGCAUAAAGGUGUUUCAAAUGUCUAUAAGAUUAAGACCUGAGAUUAUAUUUUCCUUGUAAAGUAGGAGCUGUCAGUAGCAAAAAAUGCUCACCCACUAAUGUGUGCUUAUGAAUGCAGUGAUCCUUUUCAUUUACAUCAACGAUGACAUUUACAUGUACCAACUAUUCCUGCAGGUCACCUCUUGAUGUCGCCUAAUUUCAGUUUCAUCUUCAUGUUACCAGCUUGAACCAAUACUUCCUCCUUAGAGGGAUCCACUCUCAAAACUGUGGCCUUCAUACCAAGGGAAGAAACAAACACCAUAUUGCCAACCUUGGGAAGCUCAAACUUAUCUGAAACAUAAAGGGUGAGUCUAGCCUUAGAUUCUUAAUUUGGUAGAAACUCAGUCGGGUUCUCAAAGAGAUAUGACAGUCAAUCUAAUAAUCUUAAAAGUUCUCAUUAAUUAGUACAUUUACCUGAUGACGAUUUUUUUAGAUCUUCAAAAGAAGAUGCCCACCUUUUUGUGAUUGAAUUCUCACCAUUAUCGGUUGUUUUUGUAGCCAGUGCAUGCAUGCUGUCUUUUUCGCUCCAAAGUAGGCUGCAGAGAUCGAAUUGCAGAUUCACGUUGCUUUCGUGCUUUUUUGUGAAGAAUAGAUCGUGCAGUUGCAGCAGCCUCAGAUAUUUCUCGCAUUUGCCUAAAUCUUUGAUCAUUAGCAUGUUCCAUAAUCCUACAAGUACAAACGUGACAGAUAUAAACACAAUAAUUUUAUUGAAUACCUUCAGUAAGAGAGCAGAUUUAACAUUGUAAUAUUGCAUCAUUAAUUAAUUAAGCCAUAAAAUCUCUUUCCAAAAAAUAAGCACAGUUUCAUGGCACACACAUUUCGUACGAAACUUCUUCAUACUCUUUAUGCUCAUACAGUGCCAUUCUUACCUUAUAAUAAUGACGAUGAUAUCACCAAUUCAACAAAACUAACAGAGGCUGUUUCCCAUUAUGUCAUUCUUCAUGUCCAAGGUGUGCGCAGAAAGCAGAAAGUUUAUGAUCUUGCUGCAAUUUGAUUAACCAAAAGCAAGCAAUAGGGGCUGUUUGGUGAGCUCAGUGGUGGGCGUGGUUAAACUUGAUGCGUCCAAUUCCACGUUUGAAUCGCAUCUUAAGCCCCAUGAAGCAAAUUUUUGCGAAAAACUAUAACCUAUUAUAAUUUUCAUUACACAUUAGACGGUUUCAUCACACAAUUAUAGAUUUAUAUGGACACACUCAAGUAUAGACUCGAAAGUUAAAAGUAUAACAUAAGCAGUCAGAAUCAGAUGGAAAAACUUCAACCGAAUAUUGUUUCCAUCACACAAUAAUCGGUUCCAUUGCAAAAGGACACACUCAAAGUAUAGACUCGAAAGUUACAACUACUACAUAAGUGGAGCCGUUCCAAAGAGGACGUCCGCACAGCCUUUAAAGUGUGGACGUCCCUUCGUUCUCCACCGAACACGACAGCGCGCUUCCACCCGAGCGAACUCCAGCGGCAUUCUUGAUCACUUUCGAUCUCUUCCCGGCGGGAUCGAUUUGAAGGUCUGGGCAGCAACCUCCACCCAAAACUUUAGAUAAUAUCAAUCUCGCCGGAAAACUGGAAUUCGGCAGACUUGCCGGUGAGAGAAAAUGAUCGGGGAUACCUCUGAUGUCCGCUCGGGUAGAGGCGCGCCGUCGUCGGCGCCAGACGGUGCAGAACGGAGGGACGUCCGUCUCUGAUCCGGACUCACUACAUAAGUAAUCACUAAUCAGAAUCAGAUAGAUUUAGCUGAAUCUGAUUUUCUCCUUUUAUUGCUUUCGUAACACAAUAAGCUGUCACAUUACAAAUCACAUAAUUAAGCAAAUCAACCAGAAUCAGAUUUUUUUUAGUUGAAUCUGAUCUGUAGCCAGUAGCGUGUCUCCAUAUAUAGGAGCAUCUAAAAAUUUCUCGUCAAGAUAUUCCGCAUUCAGACCAAAACAAAAAAGCUCACCAAACUCCAUACGUUUCCUGUAAAUAGUCAUCACUCUAACAAACUAAACAUAAAACCCGUAUUACACUUGGACUCCCUCUUUGUCUCUCAUCUCUCGCCUCCUUCGAAGAAGAACAAGAAAUCUAAAAGGUGCAAAUCAUGGAGAAAAGAGAUAUUGAUUAUGUUUUGGUCCCAGCAGGCCUCCUAGUCAUGGUGGGAUACCAUCUCUGGCUCCUCUACCGAAUCAAAACACAACCCAACAGCACCGUCAUCGGCAUCAACUGCAUCAAUCGCCGUUUCUGGGUCGCCGCCAUGAUGGAGGUAACCCUACUCGACUGCAUCAUAUUAGCCAAUGUCUUUAUUUUCGGAAAAUGGCCUGGCCUAACCGUGUUUUGUAAUGCAGGACUCAUCCAAAAAUGGCGUUCUUGCGGUGCAGACGCUCCGAAACAACAUAAUGGCGUCUACCCUUUUAGCCUCGACGGCGAUUAUGCUCAGCUCUCUCAUUGCUGUGUUGAUGACUAGCGGAAACAAAGAUCGAACCGCGUCUGCUUUCGUUUUCGGGGACACAAGUCCGAUGGGAUACUCGAUCAAGUACUUUGCCAUUCUGGUGUGUUUCUUGGUGGCUUUCUUGUUCAAUGUGCAGUCCAUAAGAUAUUACAGUCAUACAAGCAUGCUGAUCAACGUGCCCUUCAAGAAGAUGUCACCGCAUCUGAAGCAUCACCAUUUGACAACAGAGUACGUGGCGGACACUGUGAACAGAGGCAGCUAUUUCUGGUCUUUGGGUCUCAGAGCUUUUUACUUCUCUUUCCCUCUCUUCUUGUGGAUCUUUGGUCCCAUACCGAUGUUCUUUUGUUGCUUUAUUUUGGUUACCAUGCUGUACUUCCUUGACGUCACUUGCCAGUUUGGGUGGGUUGCUGGGGUUGAUGAUGAGGAACAAAGCAUCGUCAUCGAGGUAUGAAGAACAAAGGUUGUAAAGCUCUAGCUAGCUAGCUCUUUUAUCAUUUCGAUUACAAUACAUAAUAUGUUAAUAGAAUAGUGCCAGAAAUUAGUGUUCAUAUUCAAUACGAGUUGAAUUGAAUUGCUAAGAUCUUUGAAUAAAAGGCACUUAUUCCUUAGAGUGAAGUCGUUUUGGUUUAACAAAGAAGGCAUUUUUCUCAUACAGUCUAGAGCAGCAAAGGGAGAGUUUGCAUCAUAUCAGUACCAUGCUUGACACAUCGUAGUCACCUAAGAAAGCACCAAGCACAUGAAGUUCCUCGCCAGUUCAUAAGAGCUGAGAGCAAGAGGGAUUAACCGAAAUAGGCAAAAAGAGUUGAAAGCAAGAGGGAUUCACAAGAGCUACGGUCAAUAGAGUUGGGAGAGUGAAAACUCCCGAGGGAAAUGAAUCGAGUUCCGAGAUAGAAAAAAACCCAACAGAAAUGAAUGAACAAGGUUACAGGUAAAGAGAAAGGACGAAUAAGAAGGGGUUGCAGGUAAACAGAAAUGAAUGAAUGAGAAGGGUUAACAAGCACUGAAGUCAACAAGAAGAAUAGUAACGGCAUCCGCACGAUGCAUGGAACAAGGCAAAUGCCAUUUCCCAAACUAAAAUAUCAACUGCCAGAAAUGCAGCUCUUUUGGUUUCAUGUCCUGUUCAUGAGCUGAUUUUGAUCAUGACAUUAACUUUUGCCCAUUUUCCAAAGAAAUUUAUGAGUUUCACGUGGGUUUUAACUACACUAUCUUCUUGCUGGGAUUAAAUAGAAACUAUCACAUUCACAAAAACAUUUCCUACUUUUCUGUGACUCUCUCUUUCAAUCUGUCUGCCUUGGGCCUCUAAAGUUAUGAUAAUUCUUGGAGUUAACAAGAAUCAAUGAGCUAUGUACAUAUUUUCCUGACGCCUUGAAUGUCUUAGCCUUCUGUCUGCCGCAGUUCGUAGUUAGAUUCGCUUCCCCAACUGCACCACAGAUGAUAGUGUUCAACAUAUAGAUAAACUUCACAAGAAUUCUGCAUAAAGGUGUAUAAAAUCUAUAGAACCUGAUAUAUAUUUUCCUUGUAAGGAAAGUAGGAGUUGUCAGUAGCAAAAAAUGCUCACCCACUAAUGUGUGCUUAUGAAUGCAGUGAUCCUUUUCAUUUACAUCAACGAUGACAUUUACAUGUACCAACUAUUCCCGCAGGUCACCUCUUGAUGUCGCCUAACUUCAGUUUCAUCUUCAUGUUACCAGCUUGAACCAAUAUUUCCUCCUUAGAGGGAUCCACUCUCAAAACUGUGGCCUUCAUACCAAGGGAAGAAACAAACACCAUAUUGCCUACCUUGGGAAGCUCAAACUUAUCUGAAACAUAACCGGUGAGUCUACCAUCAGAUUCUUAACUUGGUAGAAACUCAGUUGGAUUCUCAAAGAUAUGACAGUCAAUCUAAUUAAUCUUAAAAGUUCUCAUUAAUUAGUACAUUUACCUGAUGGCGACAUUUUUAAAUCUUCAGAAGAGGAUGCCCACCUUUUUGUGAUUGAAUUCUCACCAUUAUCAGUUGUUUUUGUUGCCAGUGCAUGCUGUCUUUUUCGCUCCAAAGUAGGCUGCAGAGAUCGAAUUGCAGAUUCACGUUGCUGUCGUGCUUUUUUGUGAAGAAUAGAUCGUGUCGUUGCAGCAGCCUCAGAUAUUUCUCGCAUUUGCCUAAAUCGUUGAUCAUUAGCAUGUUCCAUAAUCUUCCUUUUGGCAACCAACAUAUUUUCAUGCAACUCUCUUGAGAUCCUGUAAGUACAAAUGUGACAGAUAUAAACACAAUAAUUGUAAGCUACAGCUCAUCUUUGGAAAAUGAAUACCUUCAGUAAGAGAGCAGAUUUAACAUUGUAAUAUCGCAUCAUUAAUUAAUCCACUUGGAUGCCAUAAAAUGGAGUCUGUUUUCCCUUUUCUUCAGAAUUUUGUUCUGCUAUUAAUAGAUUUUUUUUCCCUUCCCAAAGACUAUAAGAUUGCUGUUUAUUCAAGAACUAUCACUACAGGGAAGGAGAUUCUCACAUCAGAUGAUUCUCUGCUUCAUUUAAAAGCUCUUGAUUCUCCUGCUUUAAUCGUUCCAUAUCAGCUAUAAUCUGCAUGAAAUAUGAAAACUGUUAAUAAUAUUGCAUCUGUAAAUGCAAGAAAAACUUAUUAAAGUGAGAAAAACAUCAGCACACCAUCCUCUUAGUGGACAGGAUGUGUGAACAUUAUUCUAGUUUCUUGCACUGUUAACAUACACAGGCCACUCCUUUUCAUUUAUUAUUGUUUCUUUCGUAAUUAUUCAAAACAAGAUAAAAGAGGUAAAUAUGUAUAAGUUACCUCAUCUAUCCCUGCACUAGCUGCACCGUAUAGCUCUCUAGCAUUAUCGACUACUCUACCAGGUAGCCCUAACCUUUCAGCUAUAUUGAUUGCAUUAGAACGCCCUGCAGAAUACAUUGCAUUCUUGAAUCAUUACUAAGCAACAUAAUAAUAUAUGCAAGGGUAGUAUAGGAUAAGUGACUUGAAGAGAUUUUGCCACAAGUAUUUGAAACACUUGUAGAAAAGAGAACCCAGUUUAACCUAAUGCAUAUGCAGUAUUCAGAAUAAAGACCUGGUACUCCCCAGAGAAUUCUGUAAGUUGGCUUUAAGUUCACUUCAUCAAACUCCAUACAUGCAUUUUCAAAGGCGUCAUUGCUGCCAAAGAAAAACUAUCACCGAACAAUCCCAGACUCACAGAAGGGGAAGAUAUUAUUUAGAUUUUCAGGAAAGCCUGACAACGACCAUUCUCUAACUUAACUAGACACAUUAAAAAACUGAACUAAGCUUUCAUUACUUGUUCAAUUGUUACGCCUUCAAUUUGUAUGCCAGUUACCUGUAUUUUAGGGUUUUCAGUUCUCCAUGAUGUGUUGUGGCAAUUGUCAACAAAGCACCAGUUUCAGCAAAAGAUUCCAAUAGUGACAUCCCCAGUGCUGCUCCUUCAAGGGGAUUCGUUCCUGCACCAACCUAAUAACAAAAGGAGUUGUGUAAUUGCUGCAAAUAUAAGUUCAGUUUUGUUUCUCUUUUAUCUUCCUGGUUAAAUAAUCGUAUUUCAAGAAAGUCAGUUCUAGCAGCACCUCAUCUAGUAGCACGAGUGAACAACUUGUUGACUCUGAUUGUAUGUCCUACAAGAUGUAAGAGAAGUACGCUGCUUGAAAAGUUUACAUAUCAGAUAAAUAUAUAGGUUUUCACCCAUCAGAAAAGAAAGCAUACAAAAUUUGUCUAGUCCUGAAGACUGUAAUCAUUGUUUGAUAUACUCUUCUUACGCUUAUAUGUUUUAGGUGGCCCGAGAAGGUGGACAGAGAUUGAGACAGGGAUUGUUCAUCACCAAUGUCAGCAAACACUGAAUCAAACCAAGGGAUUUGUACUGACUCAGAACAUAAAACAUGAAGACCUGCAAUAUAAAAG
This 6327-nucleotide long non-coding RNA is filed under the name Fragaria vesca (wild strawberry). RNAcentral describes it as "long non-coding RNA (FVES_LNC003881)". The record is from RNAcentral. Lineage: Eukaryota; Viridiplantae; Streptophyta; Magnoliopsida; Rosales; Rosaceae.